GGUUAAGCGACUAAGCGUACACGGUGGAUGCCCUGGCAGUCAGAGGCGAUGAAGGACGUGCUAAUCUGCGAUAAGCGUCGGUGAGGUGAUAUGAACCGUUAUAACCGGCGAUUUCCGAAUGGGGAAACCCAGUGUGUUUCGACACACUAUCAUUAACUGAAUCCAUAGGUUAAUGAGGCGAACCGGGGGAACUGAAACAUCUAAGUACCCCGAGGAAAAGAAAUCAACCGAGAUUCCCCCAGUAGCGGCGAGCGAACGGGGAGGAGCCCAGAGCCUGAAUCAGUGUGUGUGUUAGUGGAAGCGUCUGGAAAGGCGCGCGAUACAGGGUGACAGCCCCGUACACAAAAAUGCACAUAUUGUGAGCUCGAUGAGUAGGGCGGGACACGUGGUAUCCUGUCUGAAUAUGGGGGGACCAUCCUCCAAGGCUAAAUACUCCUGACUGACCGAUAGUGAACCAGUACCGUGAGGGAAAGGCGAAAAGAACCCCGGCGAGGGGAGUGAAAAAGAACCUGAAACCGUGUACGUACAAGCAGUGGGAGCCUCUUAAUGGGGUGACUGCGUACCUUUUGUAUAAUGGGUCAGCGACUUAUAUUCUGUAGCAAGGUUAACCGAAUAGGGGAGCCGAAGGGAAACCGAGUCUUAACUGGGCGUUAAGUUGCAGGGUAUAGACCCGAAACCCGGUGAUCUAGCCAUGGGCAGGUUGAAGGUUGGGUAACACUAACUGGAGGACCGAACCGACUAAUGUUGAAAAAUUAGCGGAUGACUUGUGGCUGGGGGUGAAAGGCCAAUCAAACCGGGAGAUAGCUGGUUCUCCCCGAAAGCUAUUUAGGUAGCGCCUCGUGAAUUCAUCUCCGGGGGUAGAGCACUGUUUCGGCAAGGGGGUCAUCCCGACUUACCAACCCGAUGCAAACUGCGAAUACCGGAGAAUGUUAUCACGGGAGACACACGGCGGGUGCUAACGUCCGUCGUGAAGAGGGAAACAACCCAGACCGCCAGCUAAGGUCCCAAAGUCAUGGUUAAGUGGGAAACGAUGUGGGAAGGCCCAGACAGCCAGGAUGUUGGCUUAGAAGCAGCCAUCAUUUAAAGAAAGCGUAAUAGCUCACUGGUCGAGUCGGCCUGCGCGGAAGAUGUAACGGGGCUAAACCAUGCACCGAAGCUGCGGCAGCGACGCUUAUGCGUUGUUGGGUAGGGGAGCGUUCUGUAAGCCUGUGAAGGUGUGCUGUGAGGCAUGCUGGAGGUAUCAGAAGUGCGAAUGCUGACAUAAGUAACGAUAAAGCGGGUGAAAAGCCCGCUCGCCGGAAGACCAAGGGUUCCUGUCCAACGUUAAUCGGGGCAGGGUGAGUCGACCCCUAAGGCGAGGCCGAAAGGCGUAGUCGAUGGGAAACAGGUUAAUAUUCCUGUACUUGGUG
RNAcentral lists this ribosomal RNA (1409 nucleotides) under Escherichia coli. Its description in RNAcentral is "partial 23S ribosomal RNA". It matches the Rfam family "Bacterial large subunit ribosomal RNA", at positions 1 to 1450 of the family's 2925-position model. Lineage: Bacteria; Pseudomonadati; Pseudomonadota; Gammaproteobacteria; Enterobacterales; Enterobacteriaceae. The record is from RNAcentral.